RNAcentral lists this unclassified non-coding RNA (210 nucleotides) under Hoya litoralis. RNAcentral's name for it is "partial miscellaneous RNA". Lineage: Eukaryota; Viridiplantae; Streptophyta; Magnoliopsida; Gentianales; Apocynaceae. The record is from RNAcentral.
CCAGGUAGCAUUCCUCAUCGACGUCGUCACCGCACGGCCGGCUGAGACGGGAGCGACGGUCGUGCCCGUUGGGUCUAAUCGGGCAAUGAUAAGAGGCCCGAGACCUCAAUGCCCUCAGUGCUUUCCGUAUCCAAGAGCUCGAGCAAUGCCCCGUUCACCGCACGACAUAGAGCGACGCGGGUAACGGGCCAUGCUGCGAGUUUCGUCUCG